This 290-nucleotide long non-coding RNA is filed under the name Pongo abelii (Sumatran orangutan). RNAcentral's name for it is "lincRNA". The record is from RNAcentral. Lineage: Eukaryota; Metazoa; Chordata; Mammalia; Primates; Hominidae.
GAACGCCGGCCCGCACUGUGCCACCCCCUCCGAGCCCCCGGGAGGAGGCCUCGCCACCAUGCCCAGAGCAGCACGGUGAGUCAGAGAUGAAGCUCUUGUCCCACCUGCCCCAACCCUCGAGCCCUGCUUCCCAGGUCUGAGUUCCCAGGCAGCCUGCCACAGCCAGUGCCAGCGAGAGUGGAUCAGGCUUCAGGAUAGUCCCGCACUGAGGACGCCUAAAACAGUCUUCAUUUAUUUAUUUAUUGUUCAUAGUGUCCAAAAGUUGGAAUUAAAGUGAACGGCUGAAUAAA